AUUCGAAUAGCUUAUGAUAGAGAGCGUGGCAUUGAAGCUGCCAAGGAGAUUUUUGAAUCUUUGAAUA
Molecule: transfer RNA, 67 nt
Filed under: Sinacroneuria dabieshana
Lineage: Eukaryota; Metazoa; Arthropoda; Insecta; Plecoptera; Perlidae
Description: tRNA-Phe
Source: RNAcentral